GCAAUGCACGAAAGUGUGACGGGGCUACCCCGAGUGCCUUCCGCUGAGGAAGGCUUUUCCUUGGUGUAACUAGCCGGGGGAAUAAGGAGAGGGCAAGACUGGUGUCAGCCGCCGCGGUAAUACCAGCUCUCCGAGUGGUAGGGAUGAUUAUUGGGCUUAAAGCGUCCGUAGCCUGCUUAGCAAGUUUCCUGUUAAAUUCAGCGACCUAAUCGUUGAGCCGCGGGAAAUACUACUAGGCUAGGAGGCGGGAGAGGUCGACGGUACUUCUGGGGUAGGGGUGAAAUCCUAUAAUCCUUGGAGGACCACCAGUGGCGAAGGCGGUCGACUAGAACGUGCCUGACGGUGAGGGACGAAAGCUGGGGGGGCGAACCGGAUUAGAUACCCGGGUAGUCCCAGCCGUAAACGAUGCGGGCUAGGUGUUGGGGCAGCUGCGAGCUGCUCCAGUGCCGCAGAGAAGUUGUUAAGCCCGCCGCCUGGGGAGUACGGCCGCAAGGCUGAAACUUAA
This 505-nucleotide ribosomal RNA is filed under the name uncultured archaeon. Its description in RNAcentral is "bacterial SSU rRNA". It matches the Rfam family "Archaeal small subunit ribosomal RNA", at positions 352 to 859 of the family's 1478-position model. The record is from RNAcentral.